Molecule: ribosomal RNA, 1308 nt
Filed under: Remiarctus bertholdii
Lineage: Eukaryota; Metazoa; Arthropoda; Malacostraca; Decapoda; Scyllaridae
Description: 16S ribosomal RNA
Rfam family: Archaeal large subunit ribosomal RNA (bases 590-1308)
Source: RNAcentral
UUUAUGUUUAUUUAUACAUAGUAAAUUUAACAGAAAAGGAUAAUAAUUAUUGGCAAUAGUGAAAUAGUACUGAAAGGGAAUUAUGAAAUAAUUUAGUGUGUAAAUAUUAUUGGUAGUAAUUUUUAAAAUAUGUACCUUGUGUAUUAGGGAGGGUUAAAAUUGAUAAUAUAUACAUUUAAAUCUCGGUAAAAAAGUGUCUAAUUAUAAUUUGUCAUUUUAUGUAGAAAAAUAAUAUUGAAAAUGUAAUUAGUGAUGAAACGUCGAUCGAAUUUUUAUAUCUAGUUGUUCUUGAAAUAAAUUUAAUUUAGGUUAUUUUUUUUAUAAAAAGUAAAUAAAGUGUAGGAGGGAAGAGCUUCUUAUACAAUUAUGUGUAAAUUGUGGAACAAGUUAUAAGUUAAUAAUUAUAAAUAGGCUUAGAGGUAGCUAGUUUUAUAGGGUGUUUUAACUGAUAAUUAGAUAAGCUUAAUAUGUGUUCUCUGUUUAAAGUAAAGAACUAUAAUAUAAAAUUAACAAAGUGUUAGUAAUAUUGAUUCUAUUAGUAAUAUUUAUUAUUAAGUAAAAUAUGGAUAAUAAAAAAUAUAUUAUUUUUUAAGUAUGGUAUGUUUUUAUUGAGGAACUCGGCAAAUAAAUAUUUCUGCCUGUUUAUCAAAAACAUGUCUUGUUGAAGGUUUAACAAGUCUGGCCUGCCCACUGAGUGUUGAAGGGCCGCGGUAUUUUGACCGUGCGAAGGUAGCAUAAUCACUAGUUUUUUAAUUGAAGGCUUGUAUGAAUGGUCGGACAAGAAAUAAGCUAUCUUUAUAAAAAUUAUUGAAUUUAACAUUUAAGUAAAAAGGCUUAAAUAAUUUAGAGGGACGAUAAGACCCUAUAAAGCUUUAUAUUUUUUCAUAUUUUUUAAGAAAGGUUUGUGAAAAUUAAUUUAUCUGUGGAAAUAUUGCGUUGGGGCGACGAAAGUAAAAUUAAAAGUACCUGCUUUAUUUUUAUAACAAAAAUUUUUGGAGUUAAAAUGAUCCUAAGUAAAGAUUAAAAGUUUAAGUUACUUUAGGGAUAACAGCGUAAUUUUUUUUGAGAGCCCAUAUCGAGAAAAAAGUUUGCGACCUCGAUGUUGAAUUAAAUUGUCUACUUAUGUGCAGCAGCUAAGUAAGAAAGGUCUGUUCGACCUUUAAAAAUUUACAUGAUUUGAGUUCAAACCGGCGUGAGCCAGGUUGGUUUCUAUCUUCUAAUAAAUUUGAAACUUUUUUAGUACGAAAGGAUUAAAAAGUUUAAAUAAUUUAAAUAUAAUAAAUAUUAUUUUAAAUAAGUGAAAUUGCU